RNAcentral lists this microRNA precursor (206 nucleotides) under Oryza nivara. Its description in RNAcentral is "MIR812 microRNA precursor family". It matches the Rfam family "MIR812 microRNA precursor family". The record is from Rfam by way of RNAcentral. Lineage: Eukaryota; Viridiplantae; Streptophyta; Magnoliopsida; Poales; Poaceae.
AAAAAGACAAACCCUGGUUCCAGUGUCCAACAUUUGACUGUCUGUCUUAUUUAAAAAAAUUAUGAAAAAAAAUUAAAAAGAUAAGUCACGCAUAAAGUAUUAAUCAUAUUUUAUCAUCUAACAACAAUGAAAAUACUAAUUAUAAAAAAAAUUCAUAUAAGACGGAUGGUCAAAUGUUGGCACGGAAAUCCAGGGUUUGUCUUUUU